UGGGGAAUCUUGCACAAUGGGGGCAACCCUGAUGCAGCGACGCCGCGUGAGCGAUGAAGCCCUUCGGGGCGUAAAGCUCUUUCGACCGGAACGAUAAUGACGGUACCGGGAGAAGAAGCUGCGGCUAACUACGUGCCAGCAGCCGCGGUAAUACGUAGGCAGCAAGCGUUGUUCGGAGUUACUGGGCGUAAAGAGUGCGUAGGCGGUUUUCUAAGUUCGGUGUGAAAUCUCCCGGCUUAACUGGGAGGGUGCGCCAAAGACUGGGAAGCUGGAGUGUGGGAAAGGCAGGCGGAAUUCCUGGUGUAGCGGUGAAAUGCGUAGAUAUCAGGAGGAACACCGGCGGUGUAGACGGCUUGCUAGACCAUAACUGACGCUGAGGCACGAAAGCGUGGGUAGCAAACA
This 402-nucleotide ribosomal RNA is filed under the name uncultured bacterium. RNAcentral's name for it is "bacterial SSU rRNA". It matches the Rfam family "Bacterial small subunit ribosomal RNA", at positions 355 to 774 of the family's 1533-position model. The record is from RNAcentral.